CAGGACGAACGCUGGCGGCGUGCUUAACACAUGCAAGUCGAGCGGUAAGGCCCUUUCGGGGGUACACGAGCGGCGAACGGGUGAGUAACACGUGAGCAAUCUGCCCCUGUCUCUGGGAUAACCACUGGAAACGGUGGCUAAUACCGGAUAUGACCUCCUUCUGCAUGGUUGGUGGUGGAAAAGUCCGCUGGACAGGGAUGAGCUCGCGGCCUAUCAGCUUGUUGGUGGGGUAAUGGCCUACCAAGGCGACGACGGGUAGCCGGCCUGAGAGGGUGACCGGCCACACUGGGACUGAGACACGGCCCAGACUCCUACGGGAGGCAGCAGUGGGGAAUAUUGGACAAUGGGCGAAAGCCUGAUCCAGCAACGCCGCGUGAGGGAUGACGGCCUUCGGGUUGUAAACCUCUUUCAGCAGGGACGAAGCGAAAGUGACGGUACCUGCAGAAGAAGGACCGGCCAACUACGUGCCAGCAGCCGCGGUAAUACGUAGGGUCCGAGCGUUGUCCGGAAUUAUUGGGCGUAAAGGGCUCGUAGGCGGUUUGUCACGUCGGGAGUGAAAACUCAGGGCUUAACCCUGAGCGUGCUUCCGAUACGGGCUGACUAGAGGGAUGCAGGGGAGAACGGAAUUCCUGGUGUAGCGGUGGAAUGCGCAGAUAUCAGGAGGAACACCGGUGGCGAAGGCGGUUCUCUGGGCAUUUCCUGACGCUGAGGAGCGAAAGCAUGGGGAGCGAACAGGAUUAGAUACCCUGGUAGUCCAUGCCGUAAACGUUGGGCGCUAGGUGUGGGGACCUUCCACGGUUUCCGUGCCGCAGCUAACGCAUUAAGCGCCCCGCCUGGGGAGUACGGCCGCAAGGCUAAAACUCAAAGGAAUUGACGGGGGCCCGCACAAGCGGCGGAGCAUGCUGAUUAAUUCGAUGCAACGCGAAGAACCUUACCUGGGUUUGACAUAUGCCGGAAAGCGCCAGAGAUGG
Molecule: ribosomal RNA, 971 nt
Filed under: Aeromicrobium massiliense
Lineage: Bacteria; Bacillati; Actinomycetota; Actinomycetes; Propionibacteriales; Nocardioidaceae
Description: bacterial SSU rRNA
Rfam family: Bacterial small subunit ribosomal RNA
Source: RNAcentral